Long non-coding RNA from Pongo abelii (Sumatran orangutan), 1850 nucleotides. The record is from Ensembl. Lineage: Eukaryota; Metazoa; Chordata; Mammalia; Primates; Hominidae.
AAUUCCUGACCUCCGGUGAUCCACCUGCCUCAGCCUCCCAAAGUUCUGGGAUUACAGACAUGAGAAACCAUGCCCGGCCGAUUUCUCUCUCUUUUUUUUUUUAAGAGACAAGGUCUCGCUGUGUUGCCCAGGCUGGUCUCAAAUUCCUGGGCUCAAGCAAUCCUCCUGCCUCGGCCUUCUGAGUACAAAAGUGCAUCUCAAAUAGUUUUAAAAUGAUGUGCAAUAUUUAGCAACCAGUACAGCCCAGCAUCAACCAAUGAGAAGUGUCUGACUGUUGAGAACAGAUGCAGCCAAGGUGCCACCCCUGUGUGCACCAGCUGGACUUCAGCACUGUGUAGUGUUCUCAAUAUGAAAGGAAAAGCUGAACAGCUAACAGAAGACGUAAAAUAUCUUAACAACUCUAUUAAAUAAGCAAUCAAAAAGCAACCAACUGCAAAACAAGAUAAUUCAUCCUGUCUACAUUAAAAUUAAAAUUUUCUUUUUUUUUUUUUUGAGACAGAGUCUCUUUGUCACUCAGGCUGAAGUGCAGUGGCGCUGUCUCGGCUCACUGCAGCCUCCACCUCCCGGGUUCAAGUGAUUCUCCUGCCUCUGCCUCCCGAGUAGCUGGGAUAUUACAAGCAUGCGCCACUGCACCCAGCUAAUUUUUGUAUUUUUAGUAGAGAUGGGAUUUCACCAAGUUGGUCAGAGUGGUCUUGAACUCCUGGCCUCAAGUGAUCCACCCAUCUCGGCCACCGAAAGUGCUGGGAUUACAGACGUGAGCCAUCACGCCUAGCUAAAAUUAAGAAUUUCUGUUCAGUGAAGGAUAUCCCUAGAUACAAAGAAAAUUUCAAUUUUUUCCCCUUUAAAUUUUUUUUUUUUUUUUUGAGACGGAGCCUUGCUCUGUCGCCAGGCUAAAGCGCAGUGGCGGAAACUGGGCUCACUGCAAUCUCUGCCUCCUGGGUUUAGGCGAUUCCCCUGCCUCAGCCUCCAGAGUAGCUGGGACUACAGGUGUGCUCCACCAUGCCCAGCUAAUUUUUUGUAUUUUAGUAGAGACGGGGUUUCACCAUGUUGGCCAGGAGGGUCUCAAUCUCCUGCCCUCGAGAUCCACCCACCUUGCCCUCCCAAAGCCCCCUUUUUAAUUUUUUUUGUAGAGACAAGGUCUCACUAUGUUGCCCAGGCUGGUCUCAACCUCCUGGGCUGAAGCGAUCCUUCCUCCUCGGCCUCCCAAAGUGCUGGGAUUACCAAUGAACCUCCAUACCCAGCCCAAAUAUGCAUUCUUGGAAUUAUUUGCAAUUGCCCAGGAAUGUACAAGCAACUCCUGAGAAUAAACCAAAAAAGAUAAGAAACUCCAUGAGAAAAUGGGCAAUGCACAGGAAGGGAAACCAGAAAGGCUAAGUGAAAAAAUUCCCCAAAUUAAUGCUGAUCAGAUGAAUGUAUAUUAAAGGACAGCACCACUUUCUACCCAUCAGACUGGCAAAAAUUAGGUAGUCCGGCAAUACAAGUGCUGGCAAGGAUAAGGAGAAAAGGGCGGCCUACUUUCAAGUAGGAGGGUCAGUCACCGUUCUAAAGAAAAUCUGGAAAACCAUAGAGAAACUGACCUCUGUGACCUAUAAGCCCAUCCUGGGUACACAUGCCACACAAGCACAGAAGGGAACACACGAAAGGAUGUUUAUCGUGGCCUGUAUCUGGUGCCAAGGGGUCAGGGGCACCCAGGUGUCCCCCACUUCAGGCAAUGUGUGUAAACUGCAACCGACAUUGUGGAGUGCCACAUGGCAGGUCAAAGCAAUACUGCAUUUCUAGAAGAGUCAAUAGGGCUAGAUCUUAGCAAACACUGAGUGAAAACAGCAUAAGACCUAUUGCACAACAGCACU